RNAcentral lists this ribosomal RNA (1048 nucleotides) under Calisoga sp. U DHL-215. RNAcentral's name for it is "partial 12S ribosomal RNA". Lineage: Eukaryota; Metazoa; Arthropoda; Arachnida; Araneae; Nemesiidae. The record is from RNAcentral.
CCCUAAAGGUAAUCUCAACCCAUCCCCUUUGGCGGCCUUCAAUCUAAUUAAAGGAACUUGUUGUUUGAUCGAUGAUACGCGAUACUUUUAGCUUAGACCUAAUUUUUAUACCGCCGUCCAAAGGAUAAAAUUAAAUAUUUUAUACGUCCCAUACCACUCAAGUAAAAAUGUCAGGUCAAGGUGAAGUCAAUGUUUAAGUUUCAAUGAGUUAUCAAUAAAAAUAAUUUAUGGACUUUUGUUUAAAAACAAAAAUCGAAUUAAGAUUUAAAAGUAUUUUCAGUUCAAUACACUAAAAAGAAUAAGCAAAAAAGGUGUACAUAUCGCCCGUCGCCCUCGUCCAAAGAUGAGGUAAGUCGUAACACAGUUAAUAUACUGGAAAGUGUAUUAAGCGUAACAGUUCCAAGCUGUUAGUAUUUCACUUACACUGAAAAGAUUCCAUUUACUUUUGUAUGAACCCCCUUAUUCACAAAAUCUUUGCACUCAUUCAUCUCUAACUCAACACUUUAAAAACUGAAAAGGAUAAUCAUAAUAUAGUCCAAGUAAAUUAAUGUACCUUUUGUAUCAGGGAUUCUCAAAUCUCCUCAAUAUACGUCUGACUCCCGAAACAAAACGAACUUUGCAUUUUAGUAAAAGUUAUGUCAUAAACAAUAUAAAUUUUUCAAAGUUGAGAUAUUCUUUUCAAGUUUUCCUAUAUCUGGUUCACUUUUCACCAACUCUUCUCCCUGGUCCAAAGAAUAAGCUUUGGAUCAAGCUUAUCAUCUUCUCGUUUUCUAAACCCAGAUUUAAUAGUAUCCACACUGUUUUCAAACUCCAUAUCUUAACACAGUCAAGCAAAAUCACUCCCAAGUGAAUCACCCCAUUAACAUCACAAUGAAAAUAUCAGUAAAAUUUCCUCCUUCUUCAAUCCUUUGAACUUAGCUCCCCCAACCAUAAGCUUACCCUGAUUUUAUGAACUAGGCCCACAAUCAAUUGACUGUUUAUCAAAAACAUAGCUAAUAGAUUUCAAUUACUAGUAGUACCUGCUCAAUGAGAAAUAAAUAGCCGCAAA